Molecule: ribosomal RNA, 578 nt
Filed under: Moraxella catarrhalis
Lineage: Bacteria; Pseudomonadati; Pseudomonadota; Gammaproteobacteria; Moraxellales; Moraxellaceae
Description: partial 23S ribosomal RNA
Rfam family: Bacterial large subunit ribosomal RNA
Source: RNAcentral
AAGAUAGACACCGAAUUUGUAGAUUGUGUUAAACACAGUGGUAGAAGAGCGUUCAUACCAGCGUUGAAGGUAUACCGGUAAGGAGUGCUGGAGCGGUAUGAAGUGAGCAUGCAGGAAUGAGUAACGAUAAGAUAUAUGAGAAUUGUAUCCGCCGUAAAUCUAAGGUUUCCUACGCGAUGGUCGUCAUCGUAGGGUUAGUCGGGUCCUAAGCCGAGUCCGAAAGGGGUAGGUGAUGGCAAAUUGGUUAAUAUUCCAAUACCGACUAUGGAGCGUGAUGGGGGGACGCAUAGGGUUAAGCGAGCUAGCUGAUGGAAGUGCUAGUCUAAGGGCGUAGAUUGGAGGGAAGGCAAAUCCACCUCUGUAUUUGAAACCCAAACAGGCUCUUUGAGUCCUUUUAGGACAAAGGGAGAAUCGCUGAUACCGUCGUGCCAAGAAAAGCCUCUAAGUAUAUCCAUAGUCGUCCGUACCGCAAACCGACACAGGUAGAUGAGAUGAGUAUUCUAAGGCGCGUGAAAGAACUCUGGUUAAGGAACUCUGCAAACUAGCACCGUAAGUUCGCGAUAAGGUGUGCCGCAGCA